RNAcentral lists this ribosomal RNA (216 nucleotides) under uncultured bacterium. RNAcentral's name for it is "partial 16S ribosomal RNA". It matches the Rfam family "Bacterial small subunit ribosomal RNA", at positions 118 to 351 of the family's 1533-position model. The record is from RNAcentral.
UGGGGAUCUGCCCUUAGGUACGGAAUAACUCAGGGAAACUUGAGCUAAUACCGUAUAAUGACUUCGGUCCAAAGAUUUAUCGCCUAGGGAUGAACCCGCGUAGGAUUAGCUUGUUGGUGAGGUAAAGGCUCACCAAGGCGACGAUCCUUAGCUGGUCUGAGAGGAUGAUCAGCCACACUGGGACUGAGACACGGCCCAGACUCCUACGGGAGGCAG